GGCAUUGAAGGUGUUACUGGUAUUAAUUGCCUCGAUUGCUUGAUAGCCAAUUCCUCAAGCCUCUGAGUUUGGACAGACAACUGUGGAGCAGUCCGAGUUCUUGAUGGAACCUGAGUCAGUGCUUCAGCCAUAUUGAGACUAGCCAUUACACUUGGAGUCCCAGGUGCUGAAUUAGCAACAGUUUGUACAGCUGAUAAGGAACCACAGCUACUAUUUCCUAUUAUAGUGGGCACCUCUACCAGAGCUGAUGUCCAUCCCUCCCCACCAAUCAAAGCAGAACUACCCACAGGCAAGCUUUGAACAGCCGUGCUCAAUCCAGGAGAUGAAACCCUUCCUAUAUCAGGCACUCCUUGUCUCUCUUCACUCCCAAGUGAGGGAAAAUCCUU
RNAcentral lists this unclassified non-coding RNA (386 nucleotides) under Hevea brasiliensis (rubber tree). Lineage: Eukaryota; Viridiplantae; Streptophyta; Magnoliopsida; Malpighiales; Euphorbiaceae. The record is from RNAcentral.